RNAcentral lists this unclassified non-coding RNA (2094 nucleotides) under Eurytemora carolleeae. RNAcentral describes it as "nucleobindin-2". The record is from RNAcentral. Lineage: Eukaryota; Metazoa; Arthropoda; Copepoda; Calanoida; Temoridae.
AAUUUAUCUAAAUAAUUUCAGAUUUAUGAAGUCAUAUUUAAAAUGAUUUAUAUUCUCUUGUUGUUCUGUAUACCUUGUAUACUGGGACCACCUGUUGAUAAAACAGCCAAAGGCCCACAGCAGAAUGAGACCCUGGAGGACUGGAACCUUGGUCUAGAGUACAACAAGUAUCUCCGGGAGGUUGUUCAGAUACUAGAAGCAGAUCCAGACUUUAGAAAGAAACUAGAAACUGCUAAGGUUGAUGAAAUCCGUGAUGGAACAAUAGCCAAGGAGCUUGAGUUUCUCAGCCACGGGAUCCGAACCAAGCUGGACGAGGUAAAGAGGCAGGAGAUGGAGAGGUUGAGACACCUGGCGCAGAGACAGAUAGAGUUGAACCAGGGCCUCGAUAGGAAGCAUAUCAAGAUCCCGCAACAUAUUGAGGUUAAACACAACUCCUUCGAGGUUGCGGAUCUCCAGAAGCUGAUCAAACAGACCACGAAUGAUUUAGAGGAGGCAGAUAAGCAGAGAAGGGAAGAAUUUAAGAAAUAUGAGAUGGAGAAGAAGUUUGAGAAGGAAAUGAGAUUAAAUGCAAUAAAUGAUACUCAGGAGAGGAAGGUUGUGCAGGAGGAGAUGGAGAAGAUGGAAGCUAAACACAGGGUGCACGACAAGAUAAACCAUCCUAUGACCAAGGAUCAGCUAGAGGAGGUCUGGGAGGAACAAGAUCAUAUGGAUCCUAAGGACUGGGAUCCCAAAACCUUCUUCGCUAUGCAUGAUCUGGAUGGGAACGGUGAGUGGGAUGAGAACGAGGUUCGAAUACUCUUCAGGAAGGAGCUGGAUAAAGCCUACGAUCCCAACAACCCCGAGGACGACAUGAAAGAGAGGGAGGAGGAGAUGGAGAGGAUGAGAGAACAUGUUUUCAAAGAGUCUGACAAGGAUAAGAACAGGAUGAUUUCCUACCAAGAGUUUCUAGCAGAGACGGAGAGGGACGAAUUUGAGAAGGAUCCUGGCUGGGAUACAGUAGAUGAUGCUGAACUCUAUACUGAUGAAGAGUUCCAGAGAUUUGAAUCAGAACGGGAAGAGCAGAUAAAGAGAAUGAUUGAAUCUGGACAAAUGCCCCCUAACUAUGCUUAUCCAAAUAUCCCCGGUAUGCCCCCUCCUGGAUACAAUCCUGGGUUUGGAUACCCACCUUUGCCCGGCGGUCCUAUGCCCGGGGUUGAUCGGAACGGAAUCCCGAUGCAUGGUAGUGUUCCUGGCCAGCCUGCGCAUCCACAGUUUGUUCCUGGACAACCUCCUCCACAACAACAGUAUCUGCAACAACAGUUCCAGGGACAACAACAGUUCCAAGGACAACAACAGUAUCCGCCACAACAGCUAUAUCAAGGACAACAACAAUAUCCACCACAACAACAGUUUGGAGGACAACAGCAACAGUUCGCUGGACAACAACAAGGCCAACCACAGCAGUUUGCACAGCCUUCUCAGGUACAAUUCCAGCCAGGACAACAACAACAAUUUGUAGCACAACCUCAACCAGGAGCAGGACAAGCAGGGCAACCUCAACCUGGACUAGGGCAACAACAAUUUGCAGGACAACCCCAGCCAGGACAAGGACAACCCCAGCCAGGACAAGGACAACCCCAGCCAGGACAAGGACAACCUCAGCCGGGACAACCCCUGUCCGGACAAGGACAACCUCAGCCAGGACAAGCACAACCACAGCCAGGACAAGGACAAGCUGUUCCCGUUGCUGGACAACAAACUCCGUGAAUAAUAACUUAAUUAAAUAUUUUCGUCACAAUUAUUGAAAUUUUUCCGUUGAAUCCCAACUGUUCUCUGUGAUAUUUUUCCCACAUUUGUGUGACCAUGUAUACACCUGUUAAAACAGCUGCAGUUAAAUUUUACGUAUUAUUUUCAGUCAGGUUUAAAUUGGCUCGAAAUAUAUUGCCCUUGAAGUACCGACAGUAUUGGUUUACAUUCAUAAACAGCAUUUUAAUUGAGUUUUCCAAUCCUAGGAGUCCAGACAUAUACCACUUAGAAUAUUAUUGGUUUACUACUUGACUAUGUUUACGCCAAUUUACAAUUUACAGUGAGUUUAGAUCCUUUCAAUUACAGAAA